RNAcentral lists this ribosomal RNA (497 nucleotides) under uncultured bacterium. Its description in RNAcentral is "partial 16S ribosomal RNA". It matches the Rfam family "Bacterial small subunit ribosomal RNA", at positions 28 to 507 of the family's 1533-position model. The record is from RNAcentral.
GAUGAACGCUGGCGGCGUGCCUAAUACAUGCAAGUCGAGCGAACAGACGAGGAGCUUGCUCCUCUGACGUUAGCGGCGGACGGGUGAGUAACACGUGGAUAACCUACCUAUAAGACUGGGAUAACUUCGGGAAACCGGAGCUAAUACCGGAUAACAUGUUGAACCGCAUGGUUCAACAGUGAAAGACGGUCUUGCUGUCACUUAUAGAUGGAUCCGCGCCGCAUUAGCUAGUUGGUAAGGUAACGGCUUACCAAGGCAACGAUGCGUAGCCGACCUGAGAGGGUGAUCGGCCACACUGGAACUGAGACACGGUCCAGACUCCUACGGGAGGCAGCAGUAGGGAAUCUUCCGCAAUGGGCGAAAGCCUGACGGAGCAACGCCGCGUGAGUGAAGAAGGUCUUCGGAUCGUAAAACUCUGUUAUUAGGGAAGAUCAAAUGUGUAAGUAACUAUGCACGUCUUGACGGUACCUAAUCAGAAAGCCACGGCUAACUACGUG